GCCAGAAGAGAUUAACAUUUGAGUCACUGGGCUGGGGAAGGCAGAUCUACCCUUAAUCUGGUGGGCACAAUCUCAUCAGCUGCCAGCAAAUAUAAAGCAGGCAGAAAAACGUGAAAAGGAGAGACUGGCCUAGACUCUCAGCCUGCAUCUUUCUCCUGAGUUGGAUGCUUUCUGCCCUCAGACAUCGAACUCCACGUUCUUCAGUUUUGGGACUCAGAAUGGCUCUCCUUGCACCUCAGCUUGCAGACAGCCUAUUGUAGGACCUUGUGAUCAUAGGUGAUUUCAAAGGAAGAAGACUGGAAGAGAUACACACAUGAAUUGCGUACAUCAGAAUGAAAUGUCUAUAUAAUUUUGAAAAUCAAACUGUUUAUACACUGUUUGAAAGAUUCAUUUCGGCCUUACAUUUGCUAAUCGCACAAGAUGUUACAGAAUACCACCAUUUGUUAUCUACAAAUCCAAAGAACAAAUGAAUAAACUGUAUUCAGCCAUGUGUAUAAUCAUCCCUCAGUUGAUCCUCAGUGCAUUUAUAGCAUAGUGGGAGUGUGGCUUUUUCUGCCUCUUCUCUGUAACAUAUAAAAGGUAUUAACUUUCACUUAAAAAGGAAAUAAUGAAAGAAAGAAGCAGCAGCUUCUGUUGGUACAUAAACAUCAGGCAUGGAGAUUCUAUACUGCAUCCUAGGAGAAACCAGGGAACCAAAAUAAUGAGCUUAAAACCGCAGAAAUCAUUGUUUAUGAUUCAAUUAUUUGAAAGCAGUUACUAAAAAAAACUUACAUGAUACUAGUAUAUUUUCCUUUGUAAUAUAUGCUACUUUGUUUAUCCAUCCCAGAAAUUUGUCUUUAUUUUAAUUGCUGUUAAGCUCUUUGCUGGAGGUUUUAGUUUCAUCCUCUCAUACUCCCAGGUUUUCUAUUUGGACUUUGUAGCUUGUGGUCACUGAGGUUACAUUUGCUUUUCCUCUUUUAUGUUUAGCUUCAUUGCCUCAAACUUUUCUUUCCACUGAAUGCAUAUGAGGUCAUUUAUCUCUUCAUAUUUCUAUUCAGUCUAAGCACAGAUUGUAUGUGUGUGUGUUUUGUUGCUUGUUUCUUUUAAUAGAAGUGUGGCUUCUAUCAUUCUUUCCUAACUCAUUAAAAUAUCCAGAUUUCUUUUACUAGUGCUUAUUUCUUCUUUAUCAUGGAAUAGCACAAAACAUCAC
RNAcentral lists this long non-coding RNA (1189 nucleotides) under Homo sapiens (human). RNAcentral's name for it is "HSALNT0046656". Lineage: Eukaryota; Metazoa; Chordata; Mammalia; Primates; Hominidae. The record is from RNAcentral.